GACGAACGCUGGCGGCGUGCUUAACACAUGCAAGUCGAACGGAAAGGCCCUGCUUUUGUGGGGUGCUCGAGUGGCGAACGGGUGAGUAACACGUGGGUAACCUGCCCUUGACUUUGGGAUAACUUCAGGAAACUGGGGCUAAUACCGGAUAGGAGCUCCUGCUGCAUGGUGGGGGUUGGAAAGUUUCGGCGGUUGGGGAUGGACUCGCGGCUUAUCAGCUUGUUGGUGGGGUAGUGGCUUACCAAGGCUUUGACGGGUAGCCGGCCUGAGAGGGUGACCGGCCACAUUGGGACUGAGAUACGGCCCAGACUCCUACGGGAGGCAGCAGUAGGGAAUAUUGCACAAUGGGCGGAAGCCUGAUGCAGCAACGCCGCGUGCGGGAUGACGGCCUUCGGGUUGUAAACCGCUUUCGCCUGUGACGAAGCGUGAGUGACGGUAAUGGGUAAAGAAGCACCGGCUAACUACGUG
RNAcentral lists this ribosomal RNA (468 nucleotides) under uncultured bacterium. Its description in RNAcentral is "partial 16S ribosomal RNA". It matches the Rfam family "Bacterial small subunit ribosomal RNA", at positions 28 to 507 of the family's 1533-position model. The record is from RNAcentral.